AAAUUGUGUCCUCUGUCAGACAUCUACAUCUGACAUCUAGUUUUGUCUCAGUACCAGACAGGGGACAAACAACCCAAAAGAAGACUGUGUCUUGUUUAAAAUCAAAUGAAUGCUCCGCCUAAGAAUACAGCAGCCGCAACUCUACUUCCCAGUUACGGUUAUAAGAAAGCGCCCAAGCCAUAUAAAUGUGGAGAGACUGAGACAGUAGACACCCUGUCAGGAAAAGGGGCAGGUGAGAGCUGCCUGCAUCAGUCAGGAAAGAGGCAACUGCCUGGCAACAUCUUGAAAGAGUCAGGAGAUUGGCAAGUGAAAGUUGCCAGAAUCUAGGAGGUCCCUGUAGGAAGUUACAUAUUUUCCUGGGGGAAGGCUGAAGGCAGGAGAGUGAUUUGCCAGCUAACGUGCCCAGGCCAGAAGGUUGGGGAGGGCUGAAGGCACAGGAGUAAUGGAGGGACUUACCCGCUGACAUCUCCAUGUUGGAGAGCUGGAGCCAGGUGAUCACUGGAAGGGCCUACUUGUUGGCCUGUCUCUGAGAUGAGACUGUAAUGGAACAGGUGAAGUGAGGCAUGGUUCUCUGGUGAGGAUGAACUCCCAGCACAGAGGCUUGCAGGGGAGCUGUGUUCCUGAUGGGAAGAGCACGGUUGCACUCCUGCAGGAAGGGCUGGAGUGGCUGCCCUGGUAAAAGGACAGGAGUGGAGUGAAGAAGAGCCUAGGUGUGGCGGAAGCUGUGGUAUUUGCUAUGUCAAUGGUCAGGAGGAUGUGGGAUUGUAAGGACUAUAUACACUGGGUGUGAGAAAUGGACUAUGUUUGCGGCUUUUGUUAUUGAUUAUUUGAACUAUAUUUUAGUAACAAACUGGCCCCAAGGAGGAUCUUAGGGAGUCAAGAAAGCAUGCAUGGAGUUACUGGUCACCCUAAAGGAGGGAAAUUGAAGCAAACAUGUUGCAGCUUGCUGGACAGCGUUCCAGAUGGGGCUUCCCUCUGACAGGUGCUUAUCACAAUAAUAUUUGUGUAUUUCACAAACAUUAAUUAGUUAAUCUUUACAACAGGGAUGAGAUGAGGGAGUAUUAUUAGUCCCCCAUCUGUAAACGGGGAUGAGGCACAGAAAGGUUAGGGACAAAAGUUUCCACUAGUUUUGAGUGCCCAAUUUGAGACACAUAGGACCUGAUUUUUUUAGAGUACAUAGCACUUUCUAUGUUCAAAGCACAGCUCCCAUUGACUUCAAUUGCAGCUGUUAGUGCUCAGCAGUUCUUCAAAUCAGAGCCCAGGGUCUCAAGUCAGGCACCCAGAGAAUAAGGAACAUGUAAUUAGUGACCACCUGUGAAAAGUUUGGUUUAAGUGACUAGCCCAGGAUCACAUAGGAACUUUGUGGUAGAGGCAAGGAAAGAAUCCAGUUCUCCAGGGCAGCGUUCACCUGCCUUAACCAUGAGACCUUCCUUUCUCUUCCUGUCAUCCCCUGCCUCAUUCAUGACACACCUUCCAGCUUCUGCACAGAUGAAGCAGGAGUCCUACUGACAACAGUCUCCUUCACUAUACAAAAGAGAUUCAUUCACAGAGCAUGCCCAGCCAGUGCACUGAAGGAAUCCUGUGGGUGGAUGGAGAAUGCUCAGUUGCUCUGUGGGGAUGACACAGGAGCAGUCUGAUCGCAGGAAACGAGGCAUGAAAAUCAGCACCAUGUAACCAGCCAGUUGUCUAUAGACCAUAAGCAAGUGAUCAGCAGACCACCACAGUAGUUCACAGGCCCCUGUUUGGAAAACCUCUGGUUUAGAGCAUAAAUGACUCCAACAUUUGUUUGUCAGUGGAAUUUUGCAGAGUUGUGAAUAUGCUAGAUAUGAUGUAAUCGUAAAGAUAAAGUGUCCCCUGUUAAGGAAAAGUUAGCACAUGUGACUCCAUUUUGGUUUGGGGCCCACCAUUGUCCAAAAACAAGCACAUCAUGCACCAGAAGGCGUGUUCCUUAGAUACUGCAUUCCUGUGAAAAUCCUCCUCCUUGUCUCCAGCCUGCCUUGACUCCCAGUAUCUGUUUUUUUGGUCAGUCCCUAACUCCCUAUCUCCUGGCCUUUGAUGUGAGGCCUCCCAUCCUGAUAAUAAAAGUUACUGAUGCAUGGCUUUAGGACCAUGCUAUGUAAUUAACAUACUGGUUUAGCACGAGGAAUGCACCAAGCAGGGAUAGGUGGUAGAUAAGAAAAGGGUUUGUUUAUUGGCUAAGGUUUCCGAUGCACGAGGGCAACAUGCUUUGCUAAGGGCAACAUGCUUUGCUAAAAAGUAUAUAACCUUUGUAUAAUCUGUAUUCGGGGUCCCCUCCUGGCUAGCAGGGGGGCACCACGCUCAAGCGUAAUAAACUUAAUGUUUUUUGGGAA
This is a long non-coding RNA of Caretta caretta (loggerhead turtle), 2351 nucleotides long. RefSeq lists it as uncharacterized. The record is from RefSeq and is a predicted model, not a curated record. Lineage: Eukaryota; Metazoa; Chordata; Testudines; Cheloniidae.